RNAcentral lists this ribosomal RNA (879 nucleotides) under uncultured bacterium. RNAcentral describes it as "bacterial SSU rRNA". It matches the Rfam family "Bacterial small subunit ribosomal RNA", at positions 48 to 895 of the family's 1533-position model. The record is from RNAcentral.
CUAAUACAUGUUUGUCGAACGAAACUUUCUUACACCGAAUGUUUGCAUUCACCGUAAGAAGUUGAGUGGCGGACGGGUGAGUAACACGUGGGUAACCUGCCUAAAAGAAGGGGAUAACACUUGGAAACAGGUGCUAAUACCGUAUAUCUCUAAGGAUCGCAUGAUCCUUAGAUGAAAGAUGGUUCUGCUAUCGCUUUUAGAUGGACCCGCGGCGUAUUAACUAGUUGGUGGGGUAACGGCCUACCAAGGUGAUGAUACGUAGCCGAACUGAGAGGUUGAUCGGCCACAUUGGGACUGAGACACGGCCCAAACUCCUACGGGAGGCAGCAGUAGGGAAUCUUCCACAAUGGACGCAAGUCUGAUGGAGCAACGCCGCGUGAGUGAAGAAGGUCUUCGGAUCGUAAAACUCUGUUGUUAGAGAAGAACACGAGUGAGAGUAACUGUUCAUUCGAUGACGGUAUCUAACCAGCAAGUCACGGCUAACUACGUGCCAGCAGCCGCGGUAAUACGUAGGUGGCAAGCGUUGUCCGGAUUUAUUGGGCGUAAAGGGAACGCAGGCGGUCUUUUAAGUCUGAUGUGAAAGCCUUCGGCUUAACCGGAGUAGUGCAUUGGAAACUGGAAGACUUGAGUGCAGAAGAGGAGAGUGGAACUCCAUGUGUAGCGGUGAAAUGCGUAGAUAUAUGGAAGAACACCAGUGGCGAAAGCGGCUCUCUGGUCUGUAACUAACGCUGAGGUUCGAAAGCGUGGGUAGCAAACAGGAUUAGAUACCCUGGUAGUCCACGCCGUAAACGAUGAAUGCUAGGUGUUGGAGGGUUUCCGCCCUUCAGUGCCGUAGCUAACGCAAUAAGCAUUCCGCCUGGGGAGUACGACCGCAAGGUU